Molecule: long non-coding RNA, 869 nt
Filed under: Equus caballus (horse)
Lineage: Eukaryota; Metazoa; Chordata; Mammalia; Perissodactyla; Equidae
Description: lncRNA (ENSECAG00000029560.3)
Source: RNAcentral
GAUUUCCUUCCCAUUGCAACUCCCAAAUCCGGUCCAGCAAGAGGCCUGACGUUGAGUGGCUCCUCAAGCAUUCAGAUGUGUCUGAGCAAACACAAGAGGCAAUCAAAUUACCUGAACACCGGCCACUUCAGAGUGCUCACUUGAGAUGACAGUUUCAGCUUCAAAAGAGAUGGAGGCACUGAGGCUCAGAGAGGUUACAUAACUUGCUCAGGAUUUAUGGCUGUGCAAUGGCCAGAACUCAUUGCAUGGUUCUAUGCAGCAACAAAAGGCCUGAGAAGCAAACCAGAACAGUGGCCAGAUUACCUGCAGAGAGAAAGCCACCUAAGAUGGAGGACUUUGGACGGUGGAGGGGAUGCUGAUGAAUACCCUCCUUCCCAACGACUCCUGGGUCAGCAACAGAACAAGGCAGAGUCUUAGUCUCUCCUGGAACAGGUCCUCCUGAGUGCCACAGAACACGCUCAACGUGACAGCCUCAACAAAAUGAGUUGUUGCGUGGAAAAGCAUCUUUCAGCCCAGAAAAACCAUGGAUUUGGGAGGAAAUACUCUGAGGAGAAAGAACUGGGUCCUGGUUCCCAGGACAGUUUUCAAGUUGCUUUGAAAGGGUGUGAUGGUUUUAAUGCCCUUAAUAGGGGCGUAAGCACCAUGUAAAGAAGUUCAUCAGCAAAGAGAAGCCUAGCAAGUUUCCUGGCUCUGGAAGGGGUGGAGGUCAAGACAGCAAAGAGGUGGAAGGGGUCUUAGGAGUUUUUUGUAAGGGUCUGGAAUUUAACUUAAGUCAUUAGCUAUUGGGCAUUAAAAAGGGGCUUUAUUUUUGCAACAGGAUUUAUGGCCUUUUAUAUGUUUAUUUUUCCUUCACUAUUAGACAUCCAAGG